This 688-nucleotide long non-coding RNA is filed under the name Homo sapiens (human). RNAcentral describes it as "HSALNT0409110". Lineage: Eukaryota; Metazoa; Chordata; Mammalia; Primates; Hominidae. The record is from RNAcentral.
GCCUGGGGAAGACCUAUGGAGGAAAGAAAUGGAAGUUAACCAUGCAGCAGCCAUUCACACUCAGGUCCUCAGGGAGCCCCAUGUUGUCAAAUCCAGGAGAGACAGUCCCAUCAUUAUUUCAAACCACCAUUCAGUACUGCUGACCCAGUGGGCCACUCCAGCCUUCUCACCACCCCUCCUCCCUUGAUCCUGUCAACACCACCUGCCUACCUCCCUGGCCACACACCUUCCUGGUCUCCGCCUUUUUCUCCUCCCUUUGGCGUGCUCCACCACUUGCUGGGCUGUCUCCUCCCCUCCCAAGGUGUCAACUGCCACCCUUGAAGCAGGGAUCUCCACUUGUUCCUGCCUCUCCUUUAUACUGGCCUGCACACCCACUAACUCCCAACUGGCCCUCAGGAGGCCCACUCUCAACAUGGCGAGAAGAGACUGCCCUCGCCCAGCUGUCCCCAGGAGGGCUGGCCAGGUGGCUGCCACCUGCAUACUGAGGUCGGUGCCCAGCUUCCAUUGGCUCACCAUGAGCCCCAUGUAAAGCUAGUUUACGCUCAUGAUUUCAGCUCUAUUCUGUCUGCAUAUAACGUGGAAAUCUCUUGAGCCCUAAUCACUCUCUCAAACCUCAAUCACAAACCUUAAAAUACCUCCCUCCUGGAAAUUUUGACUUCAAUGCCUACGAAUAAACUCGUCAAAUGAG